GGGGGGCCGGGGAUUGCUCCAUCUGGGAGCUACGUUGCAGAUGUAAAAUGUGCUUUUGAGGGCUAUGGGGGGCUUUCCUGAACUAAUGUAUUUCCUAAACAAAGAUAAAUAGAUUCUCUGCCGUGUGCAGGGGAAACCUGCUGAUACUAUCACAGUGGACCUUCGCUCUGUUGCUCUGGGGCCGCUGUACGCUGCGAAAUCAUUUUGAGGGGCACGUGCUAAGUGCCAUAAAGCCAGGGUUUGAAAGAAGCCAUUACCCCAGGGGCAGCAUUAACCAUUCGUGGUCGGGCACGAGUGUUUGAUUCCCGGGUGUUUGCGUCCCUGCCGAAUCGUACAGCAGGAGCCGCCGUGUUUCCACCCUGCCCAGCUGGACGCACACCCCCGUGCCGGGAGCGGGGGCACGGCCAGUCCUCGAAUCUGGAGGGCAGACGACAAGGUGCUGCCCUUUGCUACUAACCUAUCGCUGCUUUACUGAUAAAACUCCUGCAGCAAGUUUGAGCCUUAAAUACUGUUUCUCUGGCACGAUAAUCAACAGGAAAUGAGUGUGGAUGGAGGCAGCCCCUCAGCCCUCCAGUGAUGCCGUGCUUCAGCGCCUCCUGCUCCCCAGCUGACGAAGCCAAUGGAUUUUUUGCUUUAGCAGCAAUUUUCCCUCCUUUCCCCUCUCCCCUGUAAUGAAAAGUUUCUUGCCACACAGAGGCUGGAGACACAAGGUAAUGCCCUUUAAUUACCUACCCAUAAUAUACAAAAACAAAAGGUUUCUCACGUCAUUCUUUCAAUGUUUACUAAAAUAGAGACUUUGCUCUGCCAGACCUCUCCUUCACCAGCCAAAACUCACGCUGAAGGUUAACAGCUCCAAAAGUUAAUGAUUAUCUUUCCUUGUUUGCCCAGUGUUUCAGCAUUAAAACAUGUAAAUACGA
Molecule: non-coding RNA, 917 nt
Organism: Phalacrocorax carbo (great cormorant)
Lineage: Eukaryota; Metazoa; Chordata; Aves; Suliformes; Phalacrocoracidae
Source: RefSeq, a predicted model, not a curated record